AUGGAUACUAGCGUUGGAGAUUCGGUUUUGCAUUGUGAUGAUUCUUCCAUGGAUGAGCCAGAGCUGCAGUUAGUUGCUUUUGAUAUUGAGGAGUCACAUGUAGUUGAUAUUGAUCAUGUGCUUCUAGAGCCAGAUAUGGAGAAGUUCACCUUCGAUGAUGUUAGCUGCAUUGAUUCCUCAACACUUGAGCCUGAGAUGGAGAGCUUCAUGGUUAAUUAUGAUGAGGUGGAUUCAGAUGUUAAGGAGCCAAGCUCUACUAUUUCACUUGUUGACACGAGUCCGGUGGAAAUUUCUACUACCACACCUCACUUGGUAUCUUCAAUUGAGGUAGUCCUGAAGCUUCUUCCUAACUAUCUCAGGUUUAUGCUUGUGCACCAUUCACUGCGGGCUGCCCAAGUUCGAGAUGACAUCCCAUGGGAUCCUGGUGGAUUCAUGGCAUGGUGA
This 444-nucleotide ribosomal RNA is filed under the name Triticum aestivum (bread wheat). RNAcentral describes it as "partial small subunit ribosomal RNA". The record is from RNAcentral. Lineage: Eukaryota; Viridiplantae; Streptophyta; Magnoliopsida; Poales; Poaceae.